UACAGAGGGUGCAAGCGUUUGUUCGGAAUUAUUGGGCGUAAAGCGCGUGUAGGCGGCUAUGUAAGUCGGGCGUGAAAUCCCACGGCUCAACCGUGGAAGUGCACCCGAAACUGCGUAGCUAGAGUCCUGGAGAGGAAGGUGGAAUGCUUGGUGUAGAGGUGAAAUUCGUAGAUAUCAAGCGGAACACCGGUGGCGAAGGCGGCCUUCUGGACAGUGACUGACGCUGAGACGCGAAAGCGUGGGGAGCAAACAGGG
Molecule: ribosomal RNA, 255 nt
Filed under: uncultured bacterium
Lineage: Bacteria
Description: partial 16S ribosomal RNA
Rfam family: Bacterial small subunit ribosomal RNA
Source: RNAcentral